This 788-nucleotide long non-coding RNA is filed under the name Rattus norvegicus (Norway rat). RNAcentral's name for it is "long non-coding RNA NONRATT018536". Lineage: Eukaryota; Metazoa; Chordata; Mammalia; Rodentia; Muridae. The record is from RNAcentral.
UCUGUAUGUAACAAACACACUGAGCUUCUGGGUUGAGUAGUAGGUGCCCUCUAUCAAAGGUAGCACAGCCUACCCGAUCCCAGCUUUUCUGGAUAUGUGCCUGUCAUGUCUUCACCACCAUGUCUGCCCCUAACUGUUUUCUAGGAUCCUGUAGUUCAGAAUGCCACACUUAGUGAUUCCUAAAUUUCUGAAUAACAGAGACAUUGUCUUUGUGUCCUCAGAAACCAAGGCAGUUGCCAGGGUGACAGUAAGUGCUUACAAGUGUUUGUUUUAAAUCAAAUGGAUUUAAAAGGAAUUCCAAUCAGCUAUUUGGCAUAGAGUCAUGUUUAGUCCUACUUUUUACUGUUUUCUAGGAGACAUAUUCCAGUGCAAAACUACUGACUCUUGUUCACAUGUCACUCGUUACCUAGUCCAGUGGUGGGUAGUGCUUCUGCAGUUAUACAUGUUUGUCCUGGGCUGCUCGGCCUGCUUAUGCCUUUCUUUGCCUGAGCUAGGUGUUUUCUACUUCAUGGGUCCUUGUUUCCAAGUAACAUAUGUGGCGGCUACCAGCAGCCAAGAAUACUGGGGACUUCCUGGUAGCUUGCUUCUGUACUAGAAUGAGUUUCACUCUAUUGUUAGGAGCUUCAGGGAAAUGGAAACUUGUAGAUUAGAAGUUUUUGAGAAGUCGAAACUUACGCCAUUGGUUUCUGAUGUGAUGUAUGUUAUUGUUACCGUGACAACCAGUUUGUGUUGUGUGAUUUUUCUGCGUAUAAGCAAGUGCUUUUGCUUUAUUAAAUGAGACUUGACCA